AUGCGGUAUGACGGUACCCUUUCGAAUAAGAGGUUGCUAACUCUGUGCCAGCAGCAGCGGUAAUACAGAGACCUCGAGCGUUAUCCGGAUUUACUGGGCGUAAAGCGUCUGUAGGGGGUUUGUUAAGUUCCAAGUAAAAUCUUAAGGCUCAACUUUAAGUUCGCUUGGAAAACUAAUAAACUGGAGUCCAGCAGAGGUGCAUGGAACUUGCGGUGUAGGAGUGAAAUCCGUUGAUAUCGCAAGGAACACCAAAGGCGAAGGCAUUGCACUGGGCUGGUACUGACCCUGAGAGACGAAAGCGUGGGGAGCAAAACGGAUUAGAUACCCGUGUAGUCCACGCCGUAAACGAUGGAUACUAGAUGUUCGGGGAUUCGACCCCCUGGGUGUCACAGCUAACGCGUUAAGUAUCCCGCCUGGGAAGUACGGCCGCAAGGCUAAAACUCAAAGGAAUAGACGGGGAUCCGCACAAGCGGUGGAGCGUCUGGUUUAAUUUGAUAGUAAGCAAUGGACCUCACCAAGGUUUGACAUCCUAUGACAACCCUGGAAACAGGGCCUCCUUCGGGCAUAGUGACAGGUGCUGCAUGGUCGUCGUCAGUUCGUGCCGUGAGGUGUUCCGUUAAGUCGGGAAACGAACGAAACCCUCGUCGCAUGUUACAAAUUUCAUGCGAGACUGCCCGGGUCAACCGGGAGGAAGGCGGGGAUGACGUCAGAUCAGCAUGGCCCUUAUACCUUGGGCUACACAGGCGCUACAAUGGCCGGUACAAAGGGUUGCAAAACCGCGAGGUGAAGCUAAUCCCAUAAAGCCGGUCCAAGUUCGGAUUGGAGGCUGCAACUCGCCUCCAUGAAGUUGGAAUCGCUAGUAAUCGUGGAUCAGCCAUACCACGGUGAUACGUUCCCGGAUCUUGUACUCACCGCCCGUCACACCAAGAGAGUUGG
RNAcentral lists this ribosomal RNA (936 nucleotides) under uncultured organism. RNAcentral's name for it is "bacterial SSU rRNA". It matches the Rfam family "Bacterial small subunit ribosomal RNA", at positions 462 to 1414 of the family's 1533-position model. The record is from RNAcentral.